GACGAACGCUGGCGGCGUGCUUAACACAUGCAAGUCGAACGGAAAGGCCCUGCUUUUGCGGGGUGCUCGAUUGGCGAACGGGUGAGUAACACGUGAGUAUCCUGCCCUUGACUUUGGGAUAACUUCAGGAAACUGGGGCUCAUACAGGAUAGGAGCUCCUGCUGCAUGUUGGGGGUUGGAAAGUUUCGGCGGUUGGGGAUGGACUCGCGGCUUAUCAGCUUGUUGGUGGGGUAGUGGCUUACCAAGGCUUUGACGGGUAGCCGGCCUGAGAGCGUGACCGGCCACAUGGCGACUGCGGUACGGCGCAGAAUCCUACGGGAGGCAGCAGGGGAGAAUAUUGCACAGUGGGCGGAAGCCUGUUGCAGCAACGUCGCGUGCGUGAUGACGUGCUUCGGGUUGUAAACCGCUUUCGCCGGUGACGAGGCGUGAGUGACGGUAACGGGUAAAAAAGCACCGGCUAACUACGUG
This 468-nucleotide ribosomal RNA is filed under the name uncultured bacterium. RNAcentral describes it as "partial 16S ribosomal RNA". It matches the Rfam family "Bacterial small subunit ribosomal RNA", at positions 28 to 507 of the family's 1533-position model. The record is from RNAcentral.